GUAGGUGGCAAGCGUUGUCCGGAAUUAUUGGGCGUAAAGCGCGCGCAGGCGGUCCUUUAAGUCUGAUGUGAAAGCCCACGGCUCAACCGUGGAGGGUCAUUGGAAACUGGGGGACUUGAGUACAGAAGAGGAAAGCGGAAUUCCAAGUGUAGCGGUGAAAUGCGUAGAGAUUUGGAGGAACACCAGUGGCGAAGGCGGCUUUCUGGUCUGUAACUGACGCUGAGGCGCGAAAGCGUGGGGAGCAAACAGGGAUUAGAUACCCUGGUAGUCCACGCCGUAAACGAUGAGUGCUAAGUGUUAGGGGGUUUCCCGCCCCCUUAGUGCUGCAGCUAACGCAUUAAGCACUCCGCCUGGGGGAGUACGGCCGCAAGGCUG
This 375-nucleotide ribosomal RNA is filed under the name uncultured organism. RNAcentral describes it as "partial 16S ribosomal RNA". It matches the Rfam family "Bacterial small subunit ribosomal RNA", at positions 527 to 896 of the family's 1533-position model. The record is from RNAcentral.